CCUACGGGAGGCAGCAGUGGGGAAUUUUGGACAAUGGGCGCAAGCCUGAUCCAGCCAUGCCGCGUGCGGGAAGAAGGCCUUCGGGUUGUAAACCGCUUUUGUCAGGGAAGAAAUCCUUUGGGUUAAUACCUCGGAGGGAUGACGGUACCUGAAGAAUAAGCACCGGCUAACUACGUGCCAGCAGCCGCGGUAAUACGUAGGGUGCGAGCGUUAAUCGGAAUUACUGGGCGUAAAGCGUGCGCAGGCGGUUAUGCAAGACAGAUGUGAAAUCCCCGGGCUCAACCUGGGAACUGCAUUUGUGACUGCAUAGCUAGAGUACGGUAGAGGGGGAUGGAAUUCCGCGUGUAGCAGUGAAAUGCGUAGAUAUGCGGAGGAACACCGAUGGCGAAGGCAAUCCCCUGGACCUGUACUGACGCUCAUGCACGAAAGCGUGGGGAGCAAACAGGAUUAGAUACCCUGGUAGUCCACGCCCUAAACGAUGUCAACUGGUUGUUGGACGGCUUGCUGUUCAGUACGAAGCUAACGCGUGAAGUUGACCGCCUGGGGAGUCGGCCGCAAGGUUGAAACUUAAAUGAAUUGACGG
RNAcentral lists this ribosomal RNA (583 nucleotides) under uncultured bacterium. RNAcentral describes it as "bacterial SSU rRNA". It matches the Rfam family "Bacterial small subunit ribosomal RNA", at positions 338 to 916 of the family's 1533-position model. The record is from RNAcentral.